CCUACGGGGGGCUGCAGUGGGGAAUAUUGGACAAUGGGGGGAACCCUGAUCCAGCCAUGCCGCGUGUGUGAAGAAGGCCCUCGGGUUGUAAAGCACUUUCAGUGAGGAAGAACGCCUGGUGGUUAAUACCCAUCAGGAAAGACAUCACUCACAGAAGAAGCACCGGCUAAUUCCGUGCCAGCAGCCGCGGUAAUACGGAGGGUGCGAGCGUUAAUCGGAAUUACUGGGCGUAAAGCGCGCGUAGGUGGCUUGAUAAGCCGGUUGUGAAAGCCCCGGGCUCAACCUGGGAACGGCAUCCGGAACUGUCAAGCUAGAGUGCAGGAGAGGAAGGUAGAAUUCCCGGUGUAGCGGUGAAAUGCGUAGAGAUCGGGAGGAAUACCAGUGGCGAAGGCGGCCUUCUGGACUGACACUGACACUGAGGUGCGAAAGCGUGGGUAGCAAACAGGAUUAGAUACCCCUGUAGUC
RNAcentral lists this ribosomal RNA (465 nucleotides) under Vreelandella stevensii. RNAcentral describes it as "partial 16S ribosomal RNA". It matches the Rfam family "Bacterial small subunit ribosomal RNA", at positions 338 to 795 of the family's 1533-position model. The record is from RNAcentral. Lineage: Bacteria; Pseudomonadati; Pseudomonadota; Gammaproteobacteria; Oceanospirillales; Halomonadaceae.